This 253-nucleotide ribosomal RNA is filed under the name uncultured bacterium. Its description in RNAcentral is "partial 16S ribosomal RNA". It matches the Rfam family "Bacterial small subunit ribosomal RNA", at positions 524 to 776 of the family's 1533-position model. The record is from RNAcentral.
UACAGAGGUCUCAAGCGUUGUUCGGAUUCAUUGGGCGUAAAGGGUGCGUAGGUGGCGCCGUAAGUCGGGUGUGAAAUUUCGGAGCUUAACUCCGAAACUGCAUUCGAUACUGCGGUGCUUGAGGACUGGAGAGGAGACUGGAAUUCAUGGUGUAGCAGUGAAAUGCGCAGAUAUCAGGAGGAACACCAGCGGCGAAGGCGGCGCUCUGGGCUGGAACUGACGCUGAGGAGCGAAAGCGUGGGGAGCCAACAGG